AUUGAACGCUGGCGGCAUGCUUUACACAUGCAAGUCGAACGGUAACGCGGGGCAACCUGGCGACGAGUGGCGAACGGGUGAGUAAUGCAUCGGAACGUGCCCGGUAGUGGGGGAUAACUGCUCGAAAGAGCAGCUAAUACCGCAUACGACCUGAGGGUGAAAGGGGGGGAUCGCAAGACCUCUCGCUAUUAGAGCGGCCGAUGUCGGAUUAGCUAGUUGGUGGGGUAAGGGCCCACCAAGGCGACGAUCCGUAGCUGGUCUGAGAGGACGACCAGCCACACUGGGACUGAGACACGGCCCAGACUCCUACGGGAGGCAGCAGUGGGGAAUUUUGGACAAUGGGGGGAACCCUGAUCUAGCCAUGCCGCGUGUGUGAAGAAGGCCUUAUGGUUGUAAAGCACUUUAAGCGAGGAGGAGGCUCUUUUGGUUAAUACCCAAGAUGAGUGGACGUUACUCGCAGAAUAAGCACCGGCUAACUCUGUGCCAGCCGCCGCUGUAA
Molecule: ribosomal RNA, 499 nt
Filed under: uncultured bacterium
Lineage: Bacteria
Description: partial 16S ribosomal RNA
Rfam family: Bacterial small subunit ribosomal RNA
Source: RNAcentral